GCGAACGACGUGCAAGCAUGCGUGGGAAAACGGGGGGGGCAAGCGUUAACCGGAGUGACUGGGUUUAAAGGGUGCGGAGGCGGGUAUGUAAGUCCGUUGUGAAAUUUCCGGGCUUAACUCGGAAACGGCCGUGGGUACUGCGUAUCUUGAAUGUUGUGGAGGUGAGCGGAAUAUGUCAUGUAGCGGUGAAAUGCUUAGAUAUGACAUAGAACACCAAUUGCGAAGGCAGCUCACUACACAAAUAUUGACGCUGAGGCACGAAAGCGUGGGGAUCAAACAGGAUUAGAUACCCGUGUAGUC
Molecule: ribosomal RNA, 300 nt
Filed under: uncultured bacterium
Lineage: Bacteria
Description: bacterial SSU rRNA
Rfam family: Bacterial small subunit ribosomal RNA
Source: RNAcentral